ACGCUCGACACCUACGGGAGACAGCAGUGGGGGAUAUUGCGCAAUGGGGGAAACCCUGAUGCAGCGACGCCGCGUGAGCGAAGAAGUAUUUCGGUAUGUAAAGCUCUAUCAGCAGGGAAGAAACUGACGGUACCUGACUAAGAAGCACCGGCUAAAUACGUGCCAACAGCCGCGGUAAUCUGAGCGGGCUGGCAAGGC
This 198-nucleotide ribosomal RNA is filed under the name uncultured bacterium. Its description in RNAcentral is "partial 16S ribosomal RNA". It matches the Rfam family "Bacterial small subunit ribosomal RNA", at positions 328 to 539 of the family's 1533-position model. The record is from RNAcentral.